RNAcentral lists this ribosomal RNA (29 nucleotides) under Elaphomyces sp. HB3. Its description in RNAcentral is "partial 18S rRNA". Lineage: Eukaryota; Fungi; Ascomycota; Eurotiomycetes; Eurotiales; Elaphomycetaceae. The record is from RNAcentral.
CCUCCGGCUUAUUGAUAUGCUUAAGUUCA